GUUGCUUGUGUAGGAGAGUGAUCCAGUUGAUCGACGAUCACCUCUGUCGAGGGCAUCACCACCUCCGUCGAGGACAUCUCCUCCUCCAUCGGGGAUGCCGCCGAGGGCAUCUCCUCCGCCACCCCCGUCCAGAGACCUUUUCCGUGGAUCUCCCGCACAUAGUCGGGGCACUAUUUUGAUAAUCUGUAUGCCCGUCUGAGCAGAUUUAUAGCGGGACAGGUCGACGGGCUGCGUCGAGAGAUGAUAGAGGGUUGAUGAUCUGUGACGACAGUUGGUAGGAAGGGUUGAAGAUUUGUCGAAUGAGAUUGCAGCACUUCGAGGUGAUAUAGCCGGUAGGCGAUGGGUUGACGGAGACGGUGAUCGAGAGGGUGAUAGAGAUGAGGGUCUUCGUUGUGAAGAACCAACGCAUCGACAGAUCAUUCUCGUUAUCAACUAUGCCGAACGCAAGAGGGUAAAUUUUGAUAUUGGCAUUUUGACAUGUAGCAAUAAUCAAAUUGCCUUGGUAUUUGGAUUUCAAAGUUGUACUGUCGACUAGAAUUAGGGGUCGCAUAGCAUUUCGAAAUCCCCGAAUGCAUUGUCCAAGAGCCAUAAAGAAGAAUUUGAAGCAGUUCUCGACCUCCGUCUCAAUAAAAAAUACCGAGCCAGGAUUAGUUUUCUCCAUGUUAUGGCAAUACCUGACCAAUUUAGCAUAGUUUUUCUCUGUUGAGCCCAUUAAAUCCUCUAACGUGCAUUCUUUAGCCUUCAAGACCUUCUGGUAGCUCAUGACUACUUCGUAAUCUCGACAAAUAUCGUUAAUGAUGUCUGAUGGUCUGUAGAUUGUCCGUGGAUCCUGAUACUUGUGCAUUAUCUGUCGACCAAUAAAU
Molecule: long non-coding RNA, 863 nt
Filed under: Olea europaea subsp. europaea
Lineage: Eukaryota; Viridiplantae; Streptophyta; Magnoliopsida; Lamiales; Oleaceae
Source: RNAcentral